AGGGGGGUGGGUGUUGGUGAGCUUACGUACGUACGUACAGACCGAGGUACCCCUACUCGGCAUUGGGAAUCCGAAUGUGGGAUGCGAACGUGGGAUGCGAACAGGUUACCGACACUAGCGAUGUCCGACCGUACUGUCGCCGGUACCAUCGCCGGAAAAAUUUUCCGGCGACUUUUCCGGCGGUCGGUUCUGUUGCCUUUUUCGGAUUUUCUCAGGAUUUCUCGACGAAAGAUGGUGAAUGGUCUCGGGGAAUGGGCGUGUCAUGCAUGGGCUGACAUGGAUUCUUCGAGGCCGAUGGGUGGCGGUAUACAUUCGGAGGGAGUAUCACCGAGAUGUCCCCAUGGGCAUCGUCACCACCCGGUAGAUUGCGAUACCGAAAGAGUGCUGGUCCGUUGAUGCGAGAGAGUCUCCUAUGCACUUUGUCCGUCUCCUGGUACGACCCGAGUGGCACUGACCGCAUUGACUCUCUUUGUUAAACCUCGCAGUUACUCGAUAAGGUAUUCGCAAUCUACCGCCGAAGCGGAUGGGCGUGCUUCGUUGGAAAGCAUGGAUCCGCCUAGGCUGUCCCGGGGGGUGAGCGGGGUGAAGGUGUCGCCCAUGGGCAUCAUUCCGAUUCGCGGCUUUGGGCUGAAACGGGAAGGAUUGCGAUAACGANGGAUGACCCUUUCUGAACAUUCGAGUUCUCCUAGGCGAUUCCGAGUUUGAGUUCUCCUUUCCGCAAAUGUUUGAGGCAACCAUCUUUUGAUGGGAGUCGGCUAUUCUAUAGCCGGCCAAGGGUAAUUAUUUACCCUUGUGCCGAAGCGGAUGGGCGUGCUUCGUCGGAAAGCAUGGAUGCCGCCUAGGCUGUCCCGGGGUGAGCGAGGUGAAGGUGUUGGCCGUGGGCAUCAUUCGCACUCGCGGCUUUGGGCUGAAACGGGAAGGAUUGCGAUAACGAANGAUGACCCUUUCUGAACGUUCGAGUUCUCCUGGGCGAUUCCGAGUUUGAGUUCUCCUUUCCGUGAAUGUUCGAGGCAACCAUCUUUUGAUGGGAGUCGGCUAUUCUAUAGCCGGCCAAUGGGUAAUUAUUUACUCAAGUGCCAAAGCGGAUGGGCGUGCUUCGUCGGAAAGCAUGGAUGCCGCCUAGGCUGUCCCGGGGUGAGCGAGGUGAAGGUGUCGGCCGUGGGCAUCAUUCGCACUCGCGGCCUUGGGCUGAAACGGGAAGGAUUGCGAUAACGAAGGAUGACUCUUUCUGAACGUUCGAGUUCUCCUUGGCGAUUCCAAGUUUGAAUUCUCCUUUCCGCGAAUGUUCGAGGCAACCAUCUUUUGAUGAGAGUGCUGAAGCAAGGUGAAUGAUGUUCGCUUUCAUAGGUUUGGCUUUUCGCGCUUGUGCGGCUUUGUCUUGGAUUCGUCCGUCUUUUCUCUGCUCGACCGAAUACUUCGGAAAAGUUGGGGAAAGAUUGAUGAUUUUGGGUCAAUUGAACGUUCGGCGUAUGAGUGGUGAUCGGAUAGCUAGUGUUUGUAGGCUCCGUGCUUGCGCAUCGAACUACUUACCACCUAUCCUUCUCAUUUGCUUCACGAGUGAUGUUUCGCUCCGUGAUCGGAUUUGGGGCCUGUGUUGCGUACCUAUCUUAGAGGGUAUUGUUGAGUUUGGUUGCCACCCUUGUCCGCGGCAUCUUCUUUGCGGAGAAAUCGUGGGCACAAAACUCGGCGCUUGUUCUCCUUUCGGCAUUGCAUCAUUUGCCUUGUUCGCAUUGGUGAAUAAGUUGCCGGUUGAAAUCUCGGAUGCGGAAAAGUUAAGGACGGUGACUCGAAGUGAUUCAGUCCCGCCAAAGCACAUCUGUCCCUCGGGCAAAAGAUGACGGUCGAGACCCCGUCCGUUCUCUCUAUACUUUGUGUUANGGAGUACGUGUCAGGGAAUUGUCGUGAUCGAUGAAUGC
RNAcentral lists this unclassified non-coding RNA (1916 nucleotides) under Crucihimalaya lasiocarpa. RNAcentral describes it as "external transcribed spacer". Lineage: Eukaryota; Viridiplantae; Streptophyta; Magnoliopsida; Brassicales; Brassicaceae. The record is from RNAcentral.